AUUAGCUAGUUGGUAAGGUAAAGGCUUACCAAGGCGAUGAUGCAUAGCCGAGUUGAGAGAAUGAACGGCUACAUUGGGACUGAGACACGGCCCAGACUCCUACGGGAGGCAGCAGUGGGGAAUCUUCCGCAAUGGACGAAAGUCUGACGGAGCAACGCCGCGUGAGUGAUGAAGGUUUUCGGAUUGUAAAGCUCUGUUAAUCGGGACGAAUGGUUUCUAUGUAAAUAAUGUAGAGAUUUGACGGUACCGGAAUAGAAAGCCACGGCUAACUACGUGCCAGCAGCCGCGGUAAUACGUAGGUGGCAAGCGUUGUCCGGAAUUAUUGGGCGUAAAGCGCGCGCAGGCGGAUUUGUCAGUCUGUCUUAAAAGUUCGGGGCUUAACCCCGUGAGGGGAUGGAAACUACAAAUCUAGAGUAUCGGAGAGGAAAGUGGAAUUCCUAGUGUAGCGGUGAAAUGCGUAGA
Molecule: ribosomal RNA, 462 nt
Filed under: uncultured bacterium
Lineage: Bacteria
Description: bacterial SSU rRNA
Rfam family: Bacterial small subunit ribosomal RNA
Source: RNAcentral